UUUAUAUAGUUUAAAUAAAAUAUUAUAUUUUCAUUAUAAAGUUAAUUAUUAAUUUAUAAAUAU
Molecule: transfer RNA, 63 nt
Filed under: Coleoptera sp. ACP-2013
Lineage: Eukaryota; Metazoa; Arthropoda; Insecta; Coleoptera
Description: tRNA-Glu
Source: RNAcentral